RNAcentral lists this ribosomal RNA (468 nucleotides) under uncultured bacterium. RNAcentral describes it as "partial 16S ribosomal RNA". It matches the Rfam family "Bacterial small subunit ribosomal RNA", at positions 28 to 507 of the family's 1533-position model. The record is from RNAcentral.
GACGAACGCUGGCAGCGUGCUUAACACAUGCAAGUCGAACGGAAAGGCCCUGCUUUUGUGGGGUGCUCGAGUGGCGAACGGGUGAGUAACACGUGAGUAACCUGCCCUUGACUUUGGGAUAACUUCAGGAAACUGGGGCUAAUACCGGAUAGGAGCUCCUGCUGCAUGGUGGGGGUUGGAAAGUUUCGGCGGUUGGGGAUGGACUCGCGGCUUAUCAGCUUGUUGGUGGGGUAGUGGCUUACCAAGGCUUUGACGGGUAGCCGGCCUGAGAGGGUGACCGGCCACAUUGGGACUGAGGUACGGCCCAGACUCCUACGGGAGGCAGCAGUGGGGAGUAUUGCGCAAUGGGCGGAAGCCUGAUGCAGGAACGCCGCGUGCGGGAUGACGGCCUUCGGGUUGUAAACCGCUUUCGCCUGUGACGAAGCGUGAGUGACGGUAAUGGGUAAAGAAGCACCGGCUAACUACGUG